This 253-nucleotide ribosomal RNA is filed under the name uncultured bacterium. RNAcentral describes it as "partial 16S ribosomal RNA". It matches the Rfam family "Bacterial small subunit ribosomal RNA", at positions 524 to 776 of the family's 1533-position model. The record is from RNAcentral.
UACGUAGGGUGCAAGCGUUGUCCGGAAUUAUUGGGCGUAAAGAGCUCGUAGGCGGUCUGUCGCGUCUGCUGUGAAAAUCCAGGGCUCAACCCUGGACCCGCAGUGGGUACGGGCAGACUAGAGUGCGGUAGGGGAGAUCGGAAUUCCUGGUGUAGCGGUGAAAUGCGCAGAUAUCAGGAGGAACACCGGUGGCGAAGGCGGAUCUCUGGGCCGUAACUGACGCUGAGGAGCGAAAGCGUGGGGAGCAAACAGG